RNAcentral lists this RNase P RNA (409 nucleotides) under Salinicoccus halodurans. RNAcentral's name for it is "bacterial RNase P". It matches the Rfam family "Bacterial RNase P class B". Rfam says of the family: Ribonuclease P (RNase P) is a ubiquitous endoribonuclease, found in archaea, bacteria and eukarya as well as chloroplasts and mitochondria. Its best characterised activity is the generation of mature 5'-ends of tRNAs by cleaving the 5'-leader elements of precursor-tRNAs. The record is from RNAcentral. Lineage: Bacteria; Bacillati; Bacillota; Bacilli; Caryophanales; Staphylococcaceae.
ACGGUAUGUCUGAUAAUCGCUAUGCAUUUCAAGUGCAUAGAGGAAAGUCCAUGCUCACACGAUCCUGAGAUGGUCGUAGUGUUCGUGCCUGACGAAACAAUAAGUCAGGGCAGCUCGUUUAAGACGGCUGACGGCUGUGAACCGGCCUAAGUGUGUAUUCAUAUGGCCCCAGUAACUUUAAAAGUGCCACAGUGACGGAGCUUCAGCAGAAAUGCAUGAAGGUGGAACGCGGUAAACCCCUCGAGUGAGCAAUCCAAAUUAGGUAGGAGCACUUUCCAACGGAAAUUCAACCGGCGGAGAGAUACUGCAACGGCAGUAUAGACAGAUGAUUAUCCCCAAUGUGCGAGUGUAGCUAGUGCACGCCUGCAGCACAGCGGUACAGAACAUGGCUUAUAGAGAUACCGGACUA